RNAcentral lists this transfer RNA (72 nucleotides) under Ovis aries (sheep). It matches the Rfam family "tRNA". From Rfam's summary of the family: Transfer RNA (tRNA) molecules are approximately 80 nucleotides in length. Their secondary structure includes four short double-helical elements and three loops (D, anti-codon, and T loops). Lineage: Eukaryota; Metazoa; Chordata; Mammalia; Artiodactyla; Bovidae. The record is from Rfam by way of RNAcentral.
UCCCUGGUGGCUCAGACAGUAAAGCGUAUGCUUGCAAUGCCAGAGACCCAGGUUUGAUUCCUGGGUAGGGAA